GGACGAGCGCUGGCGGCGUGCUUAACACAUGCAAGUCGAACGGUGAAGCGCCUUCCUUUUUGGUGGGUGUGGAUGAGUGGCGAACGGGUGAGUAACACGUGAGUAACCUGCCCCCUUCUUCUGGAUAACCGCAUGAAAGUGUGGCUAAUACGGGAUAUUCUGGGUCUGUCGCAUGAUGGGUCUGGGAAAGAUAUUGUUUCGGUGGGGGAUGGGCUCGCGGCCUAUCAGCUUGUUGGUGGGGUGAUGGCCUACCAAGGCGGUGACGGGUAGCCGGCCUGAGAGGGUGGACGGUCACACUGGGACUGAGACACGGACCAGACUACUACGGGAGGCAGCAGUGGGGAAUAUUGCACAAUGGGCGCAAGCCUGAUGCAGCGACGCCGCGUGAGGGAUGGAGGCCUUCGGGUUGUGAACCUCUUUCGCCAGUGAAGCAGGCCUGCCUCGUUUGUGGGUGGGUUGACGGUAGCUGGAUAAGAAGCGCCGGCUAACUACGUG
This 495-nucleotide ribosomal RNA is filed under the name uncultured bacterium. Its description in RNAcentral is "partial 16S ribosomal RNA". It matches the Rfam family "Bacterial small subunit ribosomal RNA", at positions 27 to 507 of the family's 1533-position model. The record is from RNAcentral.